This 468-nucleotide ribosomal RNA is filed under the name uncultured bacterium. RNAcentral describes it as "partial 16S ribosomal RNA". It matches the Rfam family "Bacterial small subunit ribosomal RNA", at positions 28 to 507 of the family's 1533-position model. The record is from RNAcentral.
GACGAACGCUGGCGGCGUGCUUAACACAUGCAAGUCGAACGGAAAGGCCCUGCUUUUGUGGGGUGCUCGAGUGGCGAACGGGUGAGUAACACGUGAGUAACCUGCCCUUGACUUUGGGAUAACUUCAGGAAACUGGGGCUAAUACCGGAUAGGAGCUCCUGCUGCAUGGUGGGGGUUGGAACGUUUCGGCGGUUGGGGAUGGACGCGCGGCGUAUCAGCUUGUUGGUGGGGUAGUGGCUUACCAAGGCUUUGACGGGUAGCCGGCCUGAGAGGGUGACCGGCCACAUUGGGACUGAGAUACGGCCCAGACUCCUACGGGAGGCAGCAGUGGGGAAUAUUGCACAAUGGGCGGAAGCCUGAUGCAGCAACGCCGCGUGCGGGAUGACGGCCUUCGGGUUGUAAACCGCUUUCGCCUGUGACGAAGCGUGAGUGACGGUAAUGGGUAAAGAAGCACCGGCUAACUACGUG